Molecule: ribosomal RNA, 520 nt
Filed under: uncultured Glomus
Lineage: Eukaryota; Fungi; Glomeromycota; Glomeromycetes; Glomerales; Glomeraceae
Description: SSU rRNA
Rfam family: Eukaryotic small subunit ribosomal RNA
Source: RNAcentral
AGCAGCCGCGGUAAUUCCAGCUCCAAUAGCGUAUAUUAAAGUUGUUGCAGUUAAAAAGCUCGUAGUUGAAUUUCGGGGUUAGUAGGUUGGUCAUGCCUCUGGUAUGUACUGGUCUCACUGAUUCCUCCUUCCUGAUGAACCUUAAUGCCAUUAAUUUGGUGUUUUGGGGAAUUUGGACUGUUACUUUGAAAAAAUUAGAGUGUUUAAAGCAAGCUAACGCUUGAAUACAUUAGCAUGGAAUAAUGAAAUAGGACGUUCGAUCCUAUUUUGUUGGUUUCUAGGAUUGACGUAAUGAUUAAUAGGGAUAGUUGGGGGCAUUAGUAUUCAAUUGUCAGAGGUGAAAUUCUUGGAUUUAUUGAAGACUAACUACUGCGAAAGCAUUUUGCCAAGGAUGUUUUCAUUAAUCAAGAACGAAAGUUAGGGGAUCGAAGACGAUCAGAUACCGUCGUAGUCUUAACCAUAAACUAUGCCGACUAGGGAUCGGAUGAUGUUAAUUUUUUAAUGACUCAUUCGGCGCCUU